UAAGGAUGCCCCAAGGAGUUUCAACGUGGAGUUUUUCUACGAGAGAAAAAAUAAUUGUGGGCACCUCCUUCUUAUCUCUUCUUCCUUACAACCAAUAGUUGGUUGUGGAAGGUAACUCUCUUUUUCUCUCUCUUGUUCAAGAGUUGGACAUGUCUCUCUCUUCCUCUCUCCUAAACAUGUCCAGGAGUUGGACAUUAAAAUCAGAUUUGAUCUGAUUUUUUCUCUCCUUCUUGGUCCAUGAGAUGGAUACCAACAGUUUUCCUCUACCUUUUCUAGAUCUGGUCCAAGAGUUGGACAAGAAAGGAAAAAGUAAGAGAUUAGAUCUCUUGUGUUCUUCAAUAGAUCUUGGAUUUUCUUUUGAGAAGAGAAAAAGUGAAAAAAAAUCAGAUGUGAUCUGAUUUCAUCAUCCUCCUAUAGAUCUGAUUGAUUCUCUUCAGAAGAGAAUCAAAAGAUCAAGUCGAUUCGAUAAUCCAAAGAGCGAUCUCUGUAAGGAAGCUAGCACUCUGAUGAGAUUGAGUCCUUUUGAUCAGUUCAGUUUGAGUAGAUAUCCGUAGAGACUGGAUGCACCGGAUGCAUGUGCGGCUUUACAAAAAUCUCUUCAGAUUACUAUGAGCCAUUGCAUCGCAAUGAAGAUAUACCCGUGCAAAGUGCCCUAAAUCUCUGCUACUGCCCCACAUCUCCCCCAGCAAGUCUUCUUCGUCUGCAGGCUUCUCGUCCUCCUUUUUUGGCUUCUUCUUCUUCUCCUGAGCGUGGUGAAGCACCUUCACCGUCGAUUGAGUGUUGGUUUUUUUUUUCUUUGUUCAUCUUCUUCUCUCGAGCAUAUUACAUUUCUAUUUUUUCAUGAUGUAUUUUUUUAAUUUAUGAUUUUAUGGUUUAGGAAGGAUCAACGAAGGGGAAACUCUGUUGGUGGAGAUUGCAAGGUUUUGAAGAUUGGAAGAGUUUUUUUCCCUUGUCAAGUGUGGAUACCCAGCAGUAAAUGGUCACUGCUACGACUUGAGCUAUCAUCCUGUGAACAAUAACAAAGACGCAAGCGUUACAAAAAUGCACAAGGUGUGAAGUGUUAUGACUGUGAUUCUUGCAAGAAAUGCUGGAGUUGCACAAUUCAUGAAAAUCAAGUGGAGAAUGGCUGCAAUUUUUAAUGCCAUCCUGCUCUCCAUAUUGCAGACUGCGUGCAAGUAAAUUAUACUUCACGUAUCAAACCAAUGUUUUCUCUAAUGCAUGCACAUUCAAUGGAUGACAUAUUUCACUUACAUAUUUUCUCCUUUUCCUGUCCCAUGUUUUGGUACAAACCUUUUGGGUUUCAGUCAGCUGUAUUCUUUGUUGGCUGCUGUGCAAGGAGGAAUGCUGAGAGAAGUCAUUCUUCCAAGGUCAGAGGCAGAUAAUUUGUCUAUUUUGUAGCUCUUCACUGGAAGAUGCGGCGAUUUAGUGAGAAGGUGGGACAAGUUAAAUUAUACAAUCCAUAGUCCAUGGUCUGUGUUAGCAUGACCAUAUGGAUUCGUUGGCCUCAUUCUGGGCUGAUUAUUGGGCUCAAAAUCUGGUGUUCAUUAUUGUGUAUAUUCGAUGGUCUCAUUCUAGGCCGAUUAUUAGGUUCAAAAUCUGGUGUACAUUAUGGUGUAUAUGCUUUGUAUUUUGACUUUCUAAUUUUUGUAAUUCCUAUUUAGGCUUCAUGCACUUGUAUAUAAACCUAGCUAGGUAUUAUAAUUGUCAAGAUAUAAAAUACAGAAAUUCUUUUAU
Non-coding RNA from Elaeis guineensis (African oil palm), 1734 nucleotides. The record is from RefSeq and is a predicted model, not a curated record. NCBI's taxonomy places the organism in Eukaryota, Viridiplantae, Streptophyta, Magnoliopsida, Arecales, Arecaceae.